GCGCCUGGGGCUGAAAUCGACAUUUGCCUCUGGCAGGAAAGUGAGCCUGUCAGACUCUGUCUCCGUUAGACCCUCCACCCACGGGAACGGGGGAUUUCGGUAGCCUUUUAGCUUUCUAUCUCAGGAACCAGAAAGCCCAAGCCGGUGAAAGGCCGGGCAAGCUGCGCACGUCCAGCAAACUGCCCGGAGGGGAGGCCCCGGAGCGGGGCUUCCCGGUCCCCCGCUCCUCACCUCCGGGGACUUCCAGGUCUUCCUCGCCCCCCACCCUCUCCCCGCCUCGCCCCGAGGGCGUCACGUGGCGGCGUGGGACCCGCCUCCGGUGACGUCACCGCGCUCGCAGCCGUCGCGCUGAAGAAAGGAUGCUCUAGGAUGCUGUGCAGGUGGGGGGCCGGACGCGCCAUGCGGCACUGCAGGUGUAACUAGCAUGGUCAAUGCAGGAGCGAUGAGUGGUUCUGGAAACCUGAUGGAUUUCCUCGAUGAGCCAUUCCCUGAUGUGGGGACAUAUGAGGACUUCCACACCAUCGACUGGCUAAGGGAAAAGUCACGGGACACCGACAGACACAGAAAGAUAACCAGCAAAAGCAAGGAGUCCAUAUGGGAGUUCAUCAAGAGUCUGCUGGACGCCUGGUCAGGAUGGGUGGUGAUGCUGCUCAUUGGCCUGCUGGCGGGCACCUUGGCUGGGGUCAUCGAUCUCGCUGUCGACUGGAUGACCGACUUGAAGGAGGGGGUCUGUCUGUCUGCCUUCUGGUACAGCCACGAGCAGUGCUGCUGGACGUCCAACGAGACCACUUUUGAGGACAGGGACAAGUGUCCCCUGUGGCAGAAAUGGUCGGAGCUGCUGGUGAACCAGUCAGAGGGCGCCAGUGCUUACAUUCUGAAUUACCUAAUGUACAUCCUGUGGGCAUUGCUGUUUGCGUUUUUGGCCGUCUCCCUGGUGCGCGUGUUUGCACCAUACGCCUGUGGCUCGGGUAUACCAGAGAUAAAGACCAUUUUGAGCGGCUUCAUCAUCAGGGGCUACUUGGGGAAGUGGACCCUGCUGAUCAAGACUGUCACCCUGGUGCUGGUGGUGUCCUCGGGCCUGAGCCUCGGGAAAGAAGGGCCGCUGGUGCACGUGGCCUGUUGCUGUGGAAACUUCUUCAGCAGCCUUUUCUCCAAGUACAGCAAGAACGAGGGCAAGAGGCGCGAGGUGCUCUCGGCUGCCGCCGCUGCUGGAGUUUCCGUUGCCUUUGGGGCUCCAAUAGGAGGUGUGCUUUUCAGCCUCGAGGAGGUCAGUUACUACUUUCCCCUGAAGACCUUGUGGAGGUCCUUUUUCGCGGCCCUGGUGGCGGCCUUCACGCUGCGAUCCAUCAAUCCCUUUGGGAACAGCCGCCUUGUUCUCUUUUACGUGGAGUAUCACACGCCCUGGUACAUGGCCGAGCUCUUCCCCUUCAUCCUGCUCGGGGUCUUUGGGGGCUUGUGGGGAACGCUCUUCAUCCGCGGCAACAUCGCCUGGUGCAGGAGGCGCAAGACCACCAAGCUGGGCAAGUACCCGGUGCUGGAGGUCAUCGUGGUGACCGCCGUCACCGCCAUCAUCGCCUACCCGAACCCGUACACGCGCCGGAGCACGAGCGAGCUCAUUUCCGAGCUGUUCAAUGACUGCGGGGCCCUCGAGUCCUCCCAGCUGUGUGACUACAUCAACGACCCGAACAUGACGCGGCCCGUGGACGACAUCCCGGACCGGCCGGCCGGGGUGGGGGUUUACACAGCCAUGUGGCAGCUGGCCCUGGCACUGGUCUUCAAAAUCGUCAUUACCAUCUUUACCUUCGGCAUGAAGAUCCCGUCGGGUCUCUUCAUCCCCAGCAUGGCUGUGGGCGCCAUGGCGGGCAGGAUGGUGGGAAUCGGCGUGGAGCAGCUGGCUUACCAUCACCACGACUGGAUCGUCUUCAGGAACUGGUGCAGGCCCGGAGCCGACUGCGUCACCCCCGGACUUUACGCAAUGGUGGGAGCCGCCGCCUGCCUAGGCGGGGUUACCAGGAUGACGGUGUCGUUGGUGGUCAUCAUGUUUGAAUUAACGGGUGGCCUAGAGUACAUUGUGCCCUUGAUGGCGGCAGCCGUGACCAGCAAGUGGGUGGCCGAUGCCUUUGGGAAAGAAGGCAUCUAUGAGGCUCAUAUCCACUUAAACGGGUACCCGUUUCUGGACGUGAAGGAUGAGUUCACCCAUCGCACGCUGGCCACUGACGUCAUGCGGCCACGGCGCGGAGAGCCACCCCUGUCCGUGCUCACCCAGGACAGCAUGACCGUGGAGGACGUGGAGACGCUCAUCAAGGAGACCGACUACAACGGCUUCCCGGUGGUGGUCUCCAGGGACUCCGAGCGCCUCAUCGGAUUUGCCCAGAGGAGGGAGCUGAUUCUUGCAAUAAAGAACGCCAGACAGAGGCAGGAGGGCAUCGUGAGCAACUCCAUCAUGUACUUCACGGAGGAGCCGCCCGAGCUGCCGGCCAACAGCCCGCACCCCCUGAAGCUGCGGCGCGUCCUAAACCUCAGCCCGUUCACGGUCACGGACCAUACCCCCAUGGAGACGGUGGUGGACAUCUUCCGGAAACUGGGGCUCCGGCAGUGCCUGGUGACGCGCAGCGGGAGACUUCUUGGCAUCAUCACGAAAAAGGAUGUUUUGAGACAUAUGGCCCAGAUGGCAAACCAGGACCCUGAAUCCAUCAUGUUUAAUUAGAAACAAGGUGGCAUUUAUUUUGAGAGAAACACAACUGUGUCAUUUUAAAAGAAAUAAACAAAUGAUAUGUUAUUAUCCUAAUGAACGAUUAUACGCUAGGGGCAGUGGAAAGAAAAGCUUUGUUUGAACGAAAGGAGGAUAAAACCUGGUGUGUGUGUGUGUUUUUUUUUAAAGACAUCCACGAGUAGGCAUUUUAUAGCUUUAACCCCUUGUGAGUUUCCAGCUGUGUUUCUUAAUGAGUUUAUUAACUGCCGUGGGAGCAUGUGGGUGGGUGUAAACGAUGUGGUUUGUACAAGGACACAGAACACAAAUGCUGAGUCAAGAAACGCUUGCCCCUUCUGUUUAAGGCUGUUUGGGAAGCUUUGAGUCUAAGAGGCCAAGGGGUAUUGGCCCGUCAGCAUCUUUAUUUAUUGGUUCCCGAAGUGUUGCUGCUAUUUUACUGAAUUGGAUUAAAGAUGUUUGCACUGACUUUGUCGGAAAAGAAAAAGAAAUUAAAUCUGAACCGAGUGAAAGCUGCACGAAUGCCAGUGGGCCCACUCGUGACCAUCCCGUUGUCUUGCUCCCGCUCUCAUCCGUCUGUGCACCAACAUCCGGGGGCUUCUGCUCCGCUGACUGUGAGAAACCCUUUCUCGGUGCAACACCAGCAUCUCGGGGCCACACCGUGAACUCACUGCUCGAGCGUUUAGUGCUCCGCGGGUUUCCUCCUGCACGAAGGGACCCGCCGCGAUUUUGAGGGUAUACGCACCUGCUCAUGGUUUCGCGUCCCUGUUGUAUGUACCUCACUUGUUGAUCGCCGUGGCCUGUGCAUUCUUAAAUAUUGAUCAGUCCGGCACUUUCCACGGGCCAUAUCCUGUAUGCUGCCAGCUUGCCGUAAGCGUGCUUCAAUUUCCAGAUAGCGUACGUGAGAGUCAAAGCCGGCCACCCAGUGUUACUACUUAUUUUUCCUCUCAGCUCUUAUUAAAUACGGCUGCAGGGAGGGUGAGGCAUACGAAGUCUCAGUGGGAACUCCUCCAAAUGGAUUGCGAGAGAAAUGCUAAAUUGAUUCUAAAUCUGUUCCAUUAUCUUCUCUGUAGGAUGCAUAACGUCCGGCUCUAAUGUCUGAGCGCGCGCUUUCAUGCUCGCAGUCAAAGCACAGAAGGGCAGAGUUAAAUUGGAGACCGCCACUUGGAGCACUGGGCACCUUCGUGUUGAACUUAACGGUGCAUUUGUCCCUUUAGUCGGGACUCGGCUCUUUUCUGUGAGAAGGAACCGAGCUGCGGUUCCGGUCCGCUGUGGCACCGGUGUGAGUACGUCCGCUCCCGGGAGCCUGUCACGUGUGUCCCCGCUCCCCCCUUCUCACCGAGUGGCCCGUGCCCUUUGCGAUCUCGGUCUCGGAUAUUGACGUGCCAGGUGUGUGUCUGGCGGCCGGAGAGAAAUCCCACGAACGGUGAUGAGCUGAACGAGAAACCGGGGGUCGGGCACUCUCGCGUGUCUCCACAUUACCACCCAGCAGCCGUACGCUUUGCCAUUGUUGUCUGCCGUCCUUCGUCCUCUGGCUUCUAGCCUCAGAGUCACAGGCCGGGCUCUCUGUUACCCGGCUGCCGGCCAGGCCGUCGGCUUCCUAGGCACGAAGCGGGAGGAGGAGACACGUAGCAAGGUGCGAUGCCUGUGCCCAGGAAGCAGAACUUGCCCACAGGUGCCCAGCUGAUGUCCACUGGCUGGACUUUGGUCCCGCGACUCCCCCUGGCUGCACAACCAAACCCUUUAGACUUCUGUAGAACUUUCUGGAUCCUUUCUGAAGCAGUGUUUUAUGUAAAGAAACAUAAAUGUGGGACAGAAACGGAGUUCUCUAACAGAGCACAUCAACCUAUUUCUUGCUCCCCCUCUCUACUAGUAAGGAAACGUGUUGUAGAAGGACAGACAUCAUAAAGAACAUCCCGAGAGGGACACAUGGAUUUCUUGCGUGUUUCGGUGCACCCCCCGGGAAUGCGGGUGCGUGGGUGGCAUUUAUGGAAAGGUAAAUGUGUUAGAAGCAAUCAAUACUCGGUGUUCGCUGUUCCUCAGAACCAGGCCAGCUCAACUUUCUCUGUUUGGUACUCCCCAAAGACCUUACAAAGGAGAAGACCUCUCAGUAAGAUCUCGUUUUGGCCCCGGUAAGCCACAGAAACUGGGGAAUUGGUUUCACUGAGGGGAGAACUGGUUACUUCGGAUUAUCGACAAGUGCAGAUCUGCUCAGGACUCCUUAUCAGACGCCGAGCUGGAAAAGAUGAGAAACACAAGCCUCUGAAAUGAUUUACACGACGGGGGAGCAUGUAUAUGUGACUUGGGGACAUUAACCAGACUCCAUUUUCGCUGACGCAGUAAUAACUAUUUAUUUGCCGUCCUAGGUGUGCCGGGAAUGAGCCUACAUGCGACUUUUAUGAGAUCUGUUCGCAUUUGGUGUUGGAACGACCACAGAGCAAUGUGGUGGUUUUUUUUUUUUUAAUUGUAACCCUCUGUGUAAACGUUGGCACCUUACUAAAAAUUAAGUGUUUGAACUUUCCUUUUAAAAAUAAAACGAGCACAGUCUUCAAGCA
Molecule: RNA transcript, 5262 nt
Organism: Lynx canadensis (Canada lynx)
Lineage: Eukaryota; Metazoa; Chordata; Mammalia; Carnivora; Felidae
Gene: CLCN4
Gene name: chloride voltage-gated channel 4
Exons: 14
Source: RefSeq, a predicted model, not a curated record